GGGGGCCGCACAAGCGGUGGAGCAUGUGGUUUAAUUCGACGCAACGCGCAGAACCUUACCAGCCCUUGACAUGUCCAGGACCGGUCGCAGAGACGUGACCUUCUCUUCGGAGCCUGGAACACAGGUGCUGCAUGGCUGUCGUCAGCUCGUGUCGUGAGAUGUUGGGUUAAGUCCCGCAACGAGCGCAACCCCCGUCCUUAGUUGCUACCAUUUAGUUGAGCACUCUAAGGAGACUGCCGGUGAUAAGCCGCGAGGAAGGUGGGGAUGACGUCAAGUCCUCAUGGCCCUUACGGGCUGGGCUACACACGUGCUACAAUGGCGGUGACAGUGGGAUGCGAAGACGCAAGUCCUAGCAAAUCUCAAAAAGCCGUCUCAGUUCGGAUUGGGCUCUGCAACUCGAGCCCAUGAAGUUGGAAUCGCUAGUAAUCGUGGAUCAGCACGCCACGGUGAAUACGUUCCCGGGCCUUGUACACACCGCCCGUCACACCAUGGGAGUUGGCUUUACCUGAAGACGGUGCGCUAACCAGCAAUGGAGGCAGCCGGCCACGGUAGGGUCAGCGACUGGGGUGAAGUCGUAACAAGGUAGCCGUAGGGGAACCUGCGGCUGGAU
This 610-nucleotide ribosomal RNA is filed under the name Bradyrhizobium sp. RNAcentral describes it as "bacterial SSU rRNA". It matches the Rfam family "Bacterial small subunit ribosomal RNA", at positions 916 to 1523 of the family's 1533-position model. The record is from RNAcentral. Lineage: Bacteria; Pseudomonadati; Pseudomonadota; Alphaproteobacteria; Hyphomicrobiales; Nitrobacteraceae.